ACUCUAGUUCGACUUUGUGAAAUGACUUGAGAGGUAUAGCAUAAGUGGGAGCCGAAAAGCGAAAGUGAAAUACCAGUACUUUUAACAUUAUUUUACUUAUUCCGUGAAUCAGAAGCGGGGCACUGCCCCUCUUUUUGGACCCAAGGCUCACUCUGCAGGCCGAUUCGGGCGGAAGACAUUGUCAGGUAGGGAGU
RNAcentral lists this non-coding RNA (194 nucleotides) under Capsicum annuum. RNAcentral describes it as "Eukaryotic large subunit ribosomal RNA". It matches the Rfam family "Eukaryotic large subunit ribosomal RNA", at positions 2425 to 2620 of the family's 3401-position model. Lineage: Eukaryota; Viridiplantae; Streptophyta; Magnoliopsida; Solanales; Solanaceae. The record is from Rfam by way of RNAcentral.